UCUCUGAUCCAGACUCUGACCUGCUCUAAAAGGCAUCAAAAACCCACAUGUGCCCUACCUUCCAGAGCUUCAAACUGAAAUUCUCCACUGCACGCUCAAACCCAGGCCUGUGGCAAAAAAAAGCAGCCAUGAGAAGAAGAAGCCAGAGGACUCACCUGCUGGACACAAGGGAGGUGCAUCAGCCACCUGAUGAGACUUCUCAGAAGCAGAUGUCCACUGGUGAUGCAUGGCCGGAUUUCAAGCUCACACAGCAUAAUUUACAGCCCUAGAACGAACAGCUUUACAACUUUACACACUAGUGACUCAGGCUGAGUGAAGGCAGGUUCCCGGCACCGUCCUGCCCCUGGUGGGCGGCUCACAUCCUGCGUGGCUGGCAGCACCGUCCCCCGCUGCAGUCCCUGGACCAACUGCCAGCGGAUCCACAUGCGGCGUCCCACACCCAGAUGCCAGCAAGCAUCAGCUGCACAGCUCGCAGUGGAAGGCACAGUACCAGGAUAUGCUGCUCAUCAGCAUCUGCGGUCUACACAAACGCAUCUGUAUCCCAGCAGCAGAGGGGAACCAGCACAGGACUGGCUCUGCGAUCCAGUGAAGGGAUCUUUCAAAACGUCAUCCUCCUCCUUUGAUUCCACUGUGAGCAGAGGGUAUGCCUCUCACUCUUGGGUCAUCUGGGAACAUUUUCGUUUUUGACUGCAGCUUCCUGUGCUCCCGCGUGGCUUUGGGGCAGGACUAGGAUAGGU
RNAcentral lists this long non-coding RNA (737 nucleotides) under Chinchilla lanigera (long-tailed chinchilla). Its description in RNAcentral is "lncRNA (ENSCLAG00000027450.1)". Lineage: Eukaryota; Metazoa; Chordata; Mammalia; Rodentia; Chinchillidae. The record is from RNAcentral.